AGUGAACGCUGGCGGUAGGCCUAACACAUGCAAGUCGAACGGCCGCACAGUAAGCUCUUUCUCUUACGGUUGGCGACUGACGGACGAGUAAGGCGUACAUCGGCUUCUACUUUUUCGUGGAUGAUAACGUAGGGCCACUUACGCUACUACCUCAUACUUCCUACGGGUUAGAGCAGGAGAUCUUCGCGCUUUUCGUGUCUCUAUUAGCUGAGGUCGGAUUACCUAGUUGGCGUGGUAAAGUCCCAACAAGGCAAAGCUACGUAGCUGGUCUGAGAGGAUGAUCAGCCACACUGGAAAUGAAACACGGUCCAGAAUCCUAAGGGAGGCAGCAGUGGGGAAUAUUGGAGAAAGGGCGGAAGCCUGAUCCAGCCAUACCGCGUGGGUGAAGAAGGCCCUCGGGAUGGAAAGCCCUUUUGUUGGGAAAGAAAAGCAGCAGGUAAAUACCCCGCUGUUCUGAAGGUACCCAAAGAAGAAGCACAGGCUAACUUAGUG
This 492-nucleotide ribosomal RNA is filed under the name uncultured bacterium. Its description in RNAcentral is "partial 16S ribosomal RNA". It matches the Rfam family "Bacterial small subunit ribosomal RNA", at positions 29 to 507 of the family's 1533-position model. The record is from RNAcentral.